CCUACGGGAGGCAGCAGUGGGGAAUAUUGGACAAUGGGCGCAAGCCUGACCCAGCAACGCCGCGUGAAGGAAGAAGGCUUUCGGGUUGUAAACUUCUUUUAUCAGGGACGAAACAAGUGACGGUACCUGAUGAAUAAGCCACGGCUAACUACGUGCCAGCAGCCGCGGUAAUAAGUAGGGGGCAAGCGUUAGCCGGAUUUACGGGGUGUAAAGGGCGGGUAGGCGGGAGUGCAAGUCAGAUGUGAAAACUAUGGGCUCAACCCAUAGCCUGCAUUUGAAACUGUACUUCUUGAGUGCUGGAGGGGCAAUCGGAAUUCCGGGUGUAGCGGUGAAAUGCGUAGAUAUACGGAGGAACACCAGUGGCGAAGGCGGAUUGCUGGACAGUAACUGACGCUGAGGCGCGAAAGCGUGGGGAGCAAACAGGAUUAGAUACCCCUGUAGUC
This 443-nucleotide ribosomal RNA is filed under the name uncultured bacterium. Its description in RNAcentral is "partial 16S ribosomal RNA". It matches the Rfam family "Bacterial small subunit ribosomal RNA", at positions 338 to 795 of the family's 1533-position model. The record is from RNAcentral.